UACGGGGGGGGCAAGCGUUGUUCGGAAUUACUGGGCGUAAAGGGCUCGCAGGCGGCCAACUAAGUCAUACGUGAAAUCCCUCGGCUUAACCGGGGAACUGCGUCUGAUACUGGAUGGCUUGAGUUCGGGAGAGGGAUGCGGAAUUCCAGGUGUAGCGGUGAAAUGCGUAGAUAUCUGGAGGAACACCGGUGGCGAAGGCGGCAUCCUGGACCGACACUGACGCUGAGGAGCGAAAGCCAGGGGAGCAAACGGG
RNAcentral lists this ribosomal RNA (253 nucleotides) under uncultured bacterium. Its description in RNAcentral is "partial 16S ribosomal RNA". It matches the Rfam family "Bacterial small subunit ribosomal RNA", at positions 524 to 776 of the family's 1533-position model. The record is from RNAcentral.